Oncorhynchus masou masou (cherry salmon) is the source of this 2293-nucleotide long non-coding RNA. RefSeq lists it as uncharacterized. The transcript is spliced from 3 exons. NCBI's taxonomy places the organism in Eukaryota, Metazoa, Chordata, Actinopteri, Salmoniformes, Salmonidae. The record is from RefSeq and is a predicted model, not a curated record.
GACUUAUUGGAAAAUCGCAUGUCUUUAUUACAUUGUAAUUACAUGUGUAAGUACAGUGUUUGGAUGGAUAAGUUGAAUUAUUAUUUAAUAUACAGGGAAUUGCUGACCUCUCAGCGAAAGUGUUUGUUUGUGUCCGAAUGGCACCCUUCUAUUUAUAGUGGACUACUUUUGACUAGGGUCCCUACAGGUCUCUGGUCAAAAGUAGUGCACUACACAGGGAGUAAUAUGCCAUUUGGGACUUAACCUGUAUGUAUUGUGAUGCCUCCCCCACUUCAGUGAGAAGAUUCGCUGGGAAUCCUUGGCCAGCUGGACCCUCCAACCUGUUCCACAACUUUCCCCCACAGGGAAAUCUGUAUCCUUCAAACUAUUGUCCAGAUUCAACUCCAAUUGCCGUUUUUAAGAUCAACGGUGAAAUUUUUUUAAUGGCAAAUUUGCCCUGAAAUCAAUAGGCCUGUGUUUGGAUAUCUCUCACAUCCAAGUCAUAGACUGUUCUCUCUGCUACCACACGGCAAGUGGUACCAAUGCACCAAGUCUGGAACCAACAGCACCCUGAACAGCUUCAACCUGCAAGUCAUAGACUGUUCUCUCUGCUACCACACGGCAAGUGGUACCAAUGCACCAAGUCUGGAACCAACAGCACCCUGAACAGCUUCAACCUGCAAGUCAUAGACUGUUCUCUCUGCUACCACACGGCAAGUGGUACCAAUGCACCAAGUCUGGAACCAACAGCACCCUGAACAGCUUCAACCUGCAAGUCAUAGACUGUUCUCUCUGCUACCACACGGCAAGUGGUACCAAUGCACCAAGUCUGGAACCAACAGCACCCUGAACAGCUUCAACCUGCAAGUCAUAGACUGUUCUCUCUGCUACCACACGGCAAGUGGUACCAAUGCCAAGUCUGGAACCAACAGCACCCUGAACAGCUUCAACCUGCAAGUCAUAGACUGUUCUCUCUGCUACCACACGGCAAGUGGUACCAAUGCCAAGUCUGGAACCAACAGCACCCUGAACAGCUUCAACCCGCAAGCCAUAAGACUGCUAAAUAGCUAAUCAAAUGGCUCCCUGUAUUGACUAUAUUUUGCACAAACUCUAUACACACAUACUGGACUCUACCCACACAUACACUGACACCCCAACACACACACACCACAUACGCUGUUGCUACUGUCUUAUCUAUCCUGUUGCCUAGUGACGUGACCCAAACCUAAAUGUACAGUACAUAGCUACCCCGUAGCCCUGCACAUCAACUCAGUUUUUUUUUCACCUUUAUUUAACCAGGUAGGCCAGUUGAGAACAAGUUCUCAUUUGCAACUGCGACCUGGCCAAGAUAAAGCAUAGCAGUGUGACACAGACAACAACAGAGUUACAUGGAGUAAACAAUAAACAAGCCAAUAACACAAACAAAUCAAUGACACAGGAGAAAAAAGAAAGUCUAUAUACAGUGUGUGCAAAAGGCCUGAGGAGGUAGGCAAUAAAUAGGCCAUAGGAGUGAAUAAUUACAAUUUAGCAGAUUAACACUGGAGUGAUAAAUGAGCAGAUGAUGAUGUGCAGGUAGAGAUACUGGUGUGCAAAAGCGCAGAAAAGUAAAUAAAAUAAAAACAGUAUGGGGAUGAGGUAGGUAGAUUGGGUGGGCUAUUUACAGAUGGACUAUGUACAGCUGCAGCGAUUGGUUAGCUGCUCAGAUAGUUGAUGUUUAAAGUUGGUUAGGGCAAUAAAAGACUCAACUUCAGCGAUCUUUGCAACUGCAAUACUGGUACUCCUAUAUAGCCAUGUUAUUUUCUACUCCCUGUGCAUAGCCAUGUUAUUUUCUACUCCCUGUAUAUAGCCAUGUGUAAUGGUUUUCCUCCUCUUCGUCUGAAUUGGAGAGAAGGAUCGGAGGACCAAUAUGUGGCGUGUAUAGUAGCCUGGCAGUGUUGGCUGUGGCCAGAGGCAACAAGGAUGGAUAUUGACUUAUGUCCAUUGAACUUCAGAAGCUGGAAAAAAGGGCAUCGAUGUGUCUCUUGGAACCCUUUUCCCCUUGACCACUGGACUGACCCUUUGAUCGAGGUGGGAGACACCCCUUCCUCACUGUCUGCUCCAAUCACAGCAGUGUUACCUGCCUGCUCGGCCACGUUGUGCAGCGUGCUGGGGAGAUGCUGCAAGCAAGGGCCUGCCUGCACUGGUACCAGCACUAUGGUGUGGAGGAGCAGGACUUUCAGGAGGCUUUGGACUCAUGCUCAGCUGUCAUGCAGGAAUAUGGCACUCAGUGGCACCCCGGUAGGGCACUCAGUGGCACCCCGGUAGGGCACUCAGU